UAUUGCACAAUGGGCGCAAGCCUGAUGCAGCCAUGCCGCGUGUAUGAAGAAGGCCUUCGGGUUGUAAAGUACUUUCAGUUGUGAGGAAGGGUGUGUAGUUAAUAGCUGCACAUCUUGACGUUAGCAACAGAAGAAGCACCGGCUAACUCCGUGCCAGCAGCCGCGGUAAUACGGAGGGUGCGAGCGUUAAUCGGAAUUACUGGGCGUAAAGCGCAUGCAGGUGGUUCAUUAAGUCAGAUGUGAAAGCCCGGGGCUCAACCUCGGAACUGCAUUUGAAACUGGUGAACUAGAGUACUGUAGAGGGGGGUAGAAUUUCAGGUGUAGCGGUGAAAUGCGUAGAGAUCUGAAGGAAUACCAGUGGCGAAGGCGGCCCCCUGGACAGAUACUACACUCAGAGCGAAG
RNAcentral lists this ribosomal RNA (402 nucleotides) under uncultured bacterium. RNAcentral describes it as "bacterial SSU rRNA". It matches the Rfam family "Bacterial small subunit ribosomal RNA", at positions 362 to 758 of the family's 1533-position model. The record is from RNAcentral.